CAAGAUCCCGGUAAUUAUCAAGAGAACAAGCCCAAAUGAGAUAUCGAGAGAAGACCAACCCUGGAGUCAAGUGCAUUACUAUCAGUGUUCGUCACACAUAGGUGACCGUGGCGCAUGGAGUACAGAGGGCGUGCUGGGAACCGCAGAGUUGGCGUUUCGAACCCUGGCUGCUCCACGUCCCAUGUGGAAGUACUUGAGAAAGACACCCAACUCCUACUGCUCCCACUGUGUGGGAUGGGUUAUACAUGUAAACCACAGCUUAAAAUGUAAACCAUCAUUUGCAAUGCAAAUGCGUCAACUUUAAUGACAGCAAUGUAAGUCGCUUUGGAUAAAAGUGUCAGCUUGAAUGACAUGUAAAUAAACCUGCCUCAACUACA
Long non-coding RNA from Gasterosteus aculeatus aculeatus (three-spined stickleback), 377 nucleotides. RefSeq lists it as uncharacterized. The record is from RefSeq and is a predicted model, not a curated record. NCBI's taxonomy places the organism in Eukaryota, Metazoa, Chordata, Actinopteri, Perciformes, Gasterosteidae.